Long non-coding RNA from Ficedula albicollis (Collared flycatcher), 596 nucleotides. RefSeq lists it as uncharacterized. The transcript is spliced from 3 exons. The record is from RefSeq and is a predicted model, not a curated record. NCBI's taxonomy places the organism in Eukaryota, Metazoa, Chordata, Aves, Passeriformes, Muscicapidae.
GCUCGGCAUUCGAUAACUUGACCGCCUUAGCGAACUCCUGUGAGCUCCCUGCCGGGAAGAGGCCCGGGUAAAAAGCCUUCUCCUUCCUUCACCAUUGCCUCCAGAAUUGUGUUGUCAAGUGAAUUGCUGGCAGGAGGCAGACGUGCCUGCAUGGAAGAUUUUCAUGUGGCUGGUGAAUCAGCUCGAAAAUGUAAAAAGACUCCGCCGAGCUCUCUCCUCGUCGCCCUUCACAGUCCAAGCUGCUGUAAUCCUUUCUGCAGUGCCUGGGAAGCGCCUCCAGCUAUUGCUCACUGGGUCUGUGCUGGGCUCACGCCCAGCUGCAGCUCCAUGGCUCUCAAAAACAGGCCUGUCCUCCACACACCCAACAUGAUGCCAGCACGGCACCCUCUCCUUGGCUACCACCUUCCACAAAUUUCUGCAAAGCUGAGGGGAGAGGGCUGUCCUCAGAUUUGCCUUUGUUAAGUCACCAACACAUGGGACAGGCUCUUCAUAGAAAUGCAUAUACAUACCUAUUUUACAGUUUCUAGCCAACAGCAGAGGAAAAUUGAAAAUACAGCUCCUUAAAGCUAAAAAACCAGAAGACAACAGUGAAUACA